CUUCCACAAGUCUUCGUCUUCUCUAAACAAAAUAUUUCAUUUGUGAUUUUCCAAAACAAAAACCGUAUAAACUACAGGAUGGAAGAGAACGCACGUAAUUGUUGACGUAUGGAUUGAGUGGUGCGUAUAAUGAGAGGAAUGUAUUCACUCUACGUUCAUCGCUUCGUUUCUACAACGUUGACGAGAAGGACGCAGGCCACAGGGACCUGUUAUUGUCGUCAUCGCCGCCCCAGGAGUUCGUCGCAUUAAUUAUAUCUUGAGACAAGCUUCAGGGACCAGCUUUAUACAUCCCAUCACUCACAUUGUCAUGUUAAUAUAAAAUUUACUUGUAAUAAAUUAAUAUAUUACUUUAAUCUUGCAUA
Long non-coding RNA from Homalodisca vitripennis (glassy-winged sharpshooter), 362 nucleotides. RefSeq lists it as uncharacterized. The record is from RefSeq and is a predicted model, not a curated record. The transcript has 3 exons. Lineage: Eukaryota; Metazoa; Arthropoda; Insecta; Hemiptera; Cicadellidae.